This is a long non-coding RNA of Sander lucioperca (pikeperch), 2171 nucleotides long. RefSeq lists it as uncharacterized. The transcript has 2 exons. The record is from RefSeq and is a predicted model, not a curated record. Lineage: Eukaryota; Metazoa; Chordata; Actinopteri; Perciformes; Percidae.
UGAUCAGUCACACUGGCUUUACUGCUGACGGUCGGCCGUCUGGUUGGUGUGUCUGCAGCUUCAUCAGUUAGGUAUCUUACAGACCUUCAGUAACAGUUCCACCUCGUCGUUGCUCCAAGAUAAUAAAUCCCCGCUCUUACUUUUCACCGUUGUUGUUCUUUCUCCAAAGUAUUUUCUGUAUUUUCAACUUCUACAUCCAUGAUUUUCAACCGCAGAGUAACGUCAGACAAUCUGCUUCCUGUUUACACCGUGAAUGCUCAUGUACAGGGCUUUAAAUGAACUUCUUUUGAUUACCAGCCAACAUGGCUAGUAGAUUUUUAAAGUUACCAGCCAAUUAGACUUUUCCCUAGCCACAUGUUUGUUUUUGUUUUUUCCCUAACUAACUUUACUUUAAUCUCAGCUCCUCUGGUUUGUUUCCCGCCGUUCUGUUCGUCUUCUCUGUUUCAGCGUAGCUCGUAAUAGAUACCUCACGCUCACACGUCACAACAUACUGCUCAUGGAAAAUGUAGGAUCAGUGGGAGCAUGCCUGUUCCCACAGCCCUAUGUGCCCACAUUUCUAAGAUUUCUUUCCAAAAUUAGGCCCUAUGUGCCCACAUUUCUAAGAUUUCUUUCCAAAAUUAAGCCCUAUGUUCCCACAUUUCCUUUUUUUCUUUUAUCAGAUUUUAUUCCCCUUUCUCUCAAUUUAGUAGCCAAUUACACCCAACCUAUUAUCCAGUAGCAAUGGACUACAGAUGGAAUGUUACCCUAACCCUAACAUAGAGCCUAAUUUUUAAGAAAAAUCUUAGAAAUGUGGGAACAUAGGGCUGUGGGACCAUUGGGCUGACCCCGAAUCAGUACUACAAGCAGCGUUGUCAGAUAAAGAUUAUGUUUCCAAGCCAAACGGCCCAAAUUUUUUGCCGGAAAACAGACCAAUCUGGUGACAUUUUUGCAGCCGGCCGAUUCAAACAGAUACAGUUAUGUAGAGUUAUUUGCUUCAUUCAUCACCGGCCAAAUCGGCUACUAACUUUACAAUGUUACCCGACAAAUCAAUGUAAAGCCCUGGUCAUGUGAUAUGUGAUGUCAGACGUGUUAAUGCGGACGGAGAUUAGUUGUGCUGCUGGAGCUGAAACUCUUGUGUAGACGAAGAUCGUUUUUUGUCUCAAAAACGCCGCUUAAAAAUGAAAACGUAGCAGUGUAGAUGUAGCCUUAACUCUUUUCUAUUUAUGCAGAUGUACAGUAUAUUGUGUAAUGUUACAUGUGAAGGAAAAGUGCCAGUCUUUAUUUAAGAAUGAUGUGAUGUUUUUUUCUUUUUCUUUACACUUUAAAUGUAUAAUAUGCAAUCCAAUAGUGCCCAGUUUUAUAAAACGGAGCACUCUUAGUGUCAGUGAUACAGUAGUAGAGUAAAACACAAAGCCAGGAGUAGAUAUGUUGAGAGAAUAUUUUAGUGUGUGAGGUCUUGUUUGUUUCUUGUGUAGUACAGAAAAAAAAAGAUCUCGAUCAGACCUGUCUUAGGCUGCCACCUCGUGGACGAUAUGUCUCAUUACACCAACAGUACUGAGGCGCAGAGAAAGAAGGGUGUACAUUUUGCCUGGGGAUCUUUCCAUUUCAUACAUUAUUAUUCGGAUGCAUAAUUCUUUUGUUGACGACCACAUUCAGAUCAAUUCCAGACGAGUUGUUCAGUAUGAGCUCUUUAGACGUCAUCCUAAUGUUGGAUCUGUGUUUUUUUUCUGUGUGAUGUGAGAAAAUUGCACUUUAUUUUGUGUCAAAUAUUAAUUUUUUUUUUACUUAUUGCUCAUGUAUAUUUAUUUGAUCGUUUUUCUAUUCUAUUUAUUAAACUUUUUUUUAUUUAUUCAAGUGUUUUUUACAUGUCAUCAGUGAGUGAAUUUAUGUUUUACUACUGAAAUUAGUUAUUUAUAAAUUUUACAUUUUAGACUGAGAAAUCUACCAAAAUCUGCGUAGCUGCCCUGUUGUGUGCCGUUUUGACGCUCAUUCCUAAUGUCUGAAGUUGUGAUGUUGCUGUCAUGUCCAUCUUUGUCCAAAUGUUUGAUUUCUUGAUUUACAGCAACAACUUUCUCUGACUGUUGUUGUCCUUUACAUACAUUGCUACAUAUUUAUUAGCCACUGUUGUGAAAAAAAAACAAUGCAAAAAAAAGCCCAUAGUGCAGAAAUGUAAUAAAAUGCAGAGAAACCGA